GGGCAUAGCUUAGUGGUAGAGUGCGUGCUUGGCAUGCGCGAGGUUCUGGGUUCAAUUCCUCAGUACGCCCA
RNAcentral lists this transfer RNA (71 nucleotides) under Camelus bactrianus (Bactrian camel). It matches the Rfam family "tRNA". Rfam says of the family: Transfer RNA (tRNA) molecules are approximately 80 nucleotides in length. Their secondary structure includes four short double-helical elements and three loops (D, anti-codon, and T loops). Lineage: Eukaryota; Metazoa; Chordata; Mammalia; Artiodactyla; Camelidae. The record is from Rfam by way of RNAcentral. RNAcentral also lists the same sequence under 2 other names.